This 253-nucleotide ribosomal RNA is filed under the name uncultured bacterium. Its description in RNAcentral is "partial 16S ribosomal RNA". It matches the Rfam family "Bacterial small subunit ribosomal RNA", at positions 524 to 776 of the family's 1533-position model. The record is from RNAcentral.
UACGUAGGUGGCGAGCGUUGUCCGGAAUUACUGGGUGUAAAGGGCGUGUAGGCGGGGGAGCAAGUCAGAUGUGAAAUACCGGGGCUCAACUCCGGUGCUGCAUCUGAAACUGCCCCUCUUGAGUGUCGCAGAGGAAAGCGGAAUUCCCAGUGUAGCGGUGAAAUGCGUAGAGAUUGGGAGGAACACCAGUGGCGAAGGCGGCUUUCUGGGCGACAACUGACGCUGAGGCGCGAAAGCGUGGGGAGCAAACAGG